Molecule: ribosomal RNA, 460 nt
Filed under: uncultured bacterium
Lineage: Bacteria
Description: partial 16S ribosomal RNA
Rfam family: Bacterial small subunit ribosomal RNA
Source: RNAcentral
CCUACGGGUGACUGCAGUGAGGAAUAUUGGUCAAUGGACGAGAGUCUGAACCAGCCAAGUAGCGUGAAGGAUGACUGCCCUAUGGGUUGUAAACUUCUUUUAUAAAGGAAUAAAAUGAGGCACGUGUGCUUCUUUGCAUGUACUUUAUGAAUAAGGAUCGGCUAACUCCGUGCCAGCAGCCGCGGUAAUACGGAGGAUCCGAGCGUUAUCCGGAUUUAUUGGGUUUAAAGGGAGCGUAGAUGGGUUGUUAAGUCAGUUGUGAAAGUUUGCGGCUCAACCGUAAAAUUGCAAUUGAUACUGGCAUUCUUGAGUACAGUUGAGGUAGGCGGAAUUCGUGGUGUAGCGGUGAAAUGCUUAGAUAUCACGAAGAACCCCGAUUGCGAAGGCAGCUUACUAAACUGUAACUGACAUUGAUGCUCGAAAGUGUGGGUAUCAAACAGGAUUAGAUACCCCGGUAGUC